CGUGAGGUGAACUGAAUUUCAGCCUCUGCUGAGAUCGGCAUUGCCUCGCGGAUUCUGGCUUCAACGCCUUCAUCCAUUUUGUAGCCAAGUGCCUCUGCCAGGAGACGAGUCCUCACAAAACACUCCUUCAGCUGCGUUUUUACGUUUACCACCAGUUUUCCAGGACCUUCUUUGCCACUGCCUUCAACCCCAGCUCUCCUUGGAUUAUCCGAGUAUCCACGCACCCGCUCCAUCCCCGUCGCAACCUGCUAAUUCCCCGUUCACCCCACUGACCCACGGCCACACCAUUAGCAACACUUUGCCACGAAUUCCCCUGUUGACCUAAUAAACAAACGCUGUAAAACGUAUGAGCCAUCUCUGUUAUGGUUAUCUGCGUUUGAGUCCAGUUUAGCUAUCAGCCUCUGGCCAUUGUGACAAAAAGAACGUAGAAGAAGACCAAGAGGCAGCAGAUGCAGAGAAAACGGCAAUGGGCCGAGAACAGAGCCCUGAGGGACCUCAUGCCUCACUGCACAGGUCUCAGAGAGAUCAUUUUUCAAAAUACCAGUCUGAGAUCUCCCAGACAGGUAGGAUCUCAGCCAUGAUAUUAAAUUUCCCGUAACUCUGUU
Oreochromis aureus is the source of this 605-nucleotide long non-coding RNA. RefSeq lists it as uncharacterized. NCBI's taxonomy places the organism in Eukaryota, Metazoa, Chordata, Actinopteri, Cichliformes, Cichlidae. The transcript is spliced from 4 exons. The record is from RefSeq and is a predicted model, not a curated record.